Molecule: ribosomal RNA, 319 nt
Filed under: uncultured Chloroflexota bacterium
Lineage: Bacteria; Bacillati; Chloroflexota
Description: bacterial SSU rRNA
Rfam family: Bacterial small subunit ribosomal RNA
Source: RNAcentral
GAUGAACGCUGGCGGCGUGCUUAAUACAUGCAAGUCGAACGGAGAGCUAGAAAUAGUUCUUAGUGGCGAACGGGUGAGUAACGCGUUGGUGACCUGCCCCGGAGAGGGGGAUAACAGUUCGAAAGGACUGCUAAUACCCCAUGAAGUCAUAGAGGCCAGAGGCUUUAUGACGAAAGGAGAAAUCCGCUUCGGGAGGGGCCUGCGUCCCAUCAGCUAGUUGGUAGGGUAAAGGCCUACCAAGGCAGAGACGGGUAGGGGACCUGAGAGGGUGAUCCCCCACACUGGCACUGAAACACGGGCCAGACACCUACGGGGGCUG